AGCGAACGCUGGCGGCAGGCUUAACACAUGCAAGUCGAGCGGGCAUCCUUGUCGUGUCAGCGGCAGACGGGUGAGUAACGCGUGGGAACGUGCCCUUUGGUUCGGAAUAACUCAGGGAAACUUGAGCUAAUACUGGAUACGCUCCUUUGGGGAAAGGUUUACUGCCGAAGGAUCGGCGCGCGUCUGAUUAGCUAGUUGGUGAGGUUAUGGCUCACCAAGGAGAGGAUCAGUAGCUGGUCUGAGAGGAGGAUCAGCCACACUGGGACUGAGACACGGACCAGACUCGUACGGGAGGGAGCGGAGGGGAAUAUUGUGGGAUGGGGGCAACCCUGGUCCAGCCAUGCGGGGUGAGUGAUGCCGGCCUUAGGGUUGUAAAGCUCUUUUCUCCGGGACGAUAAUGACGGUACCGGAGGAAUAAGCCCCGGCUAACUUCGUG
RNAcentral lists this ribosomal RNA (436 nucleotides) under uncultured bacterium. RNAcentral's name for it is "partial 16S ribosomal RNA". It matches the Rfam family "Bacterial small subunit ribosomal RNA", at positions 29 to 507 of the family's 1533-position model. The record is from RNAcentral.